RNAcentral lists this unclassified non-coding RNA (241 nucleotides) under uncultured fungus. Its description in RNAcentral is "partial contains 5.8S ribosomal RNA, internal transcribed spacer 2, and large subunit ribosomal RNA". The stretch from base 1 to 52 matches the Rfam family "5.8S ribosomal RNA", at positions 103 to 154 of the family's 154-position model. RNAcentral also lists the same sequence under 1 other name. Lineage: Eukaryota; Fungi. The record is from RNAcentral.
AACGCACAUUGCGCCCUGUGGUAUUCCGCAGGGCAUGCCUGUUCGAGCGUCAGUACAACACUCAAGCCUAGCUUGGUCUUGGGCCUCGCCGGAAACGGCGGGCCUUAAAGGUAGUGGCGGCGCCCGCUGGGCUCUAAGCGUAGUAAUACUCCUCGCUAUAGGGACCCGGUGGAUGCUGGCCAGCAACCCCCAACUUUCUAAGUUUGACCUCGGAUCAGGUAGGGAUACCCGCUGAACUUAA